UUUAAAAGCCUUCUCCCAUGCCAAAAGGAGAAGUGAUGACAUUGUUGGCAAAGCAUAUAUACAAUGAUAUUUUCAUUCAAUCUUUGCAUUGUUAAACAUUUGUUUUCCCUUUGUUUUCACUUUUUGCUUUUCUUUAUGAAAUCAGUGAUCACAAAAAACCCAUAAAAACAAAAACAAAAAGCAAUAAAAGCAAACAUUUUUCAUCUGCAUAAUGAUUUGUUUGUUUAAAUUCUGAAGUUUUC
RNAcentral lists this long non-coding RNA (242 nucleotides) under Lathyrus oleraceus (garden pea). RNAcentral's name for it is "Pisum sativum (pea) long non-coding RNA (PSAT_LNC005919)". The record is from RNAcentral. Lineage: Eukaryota; Viridiplantae; Streptophyta; Magnoliopsida; Fabales; Fabaceae.